GAUAGCCUGCUGUCCAGUUUACUCCAUACGGAGAAACUGCGAAAGGCUCAUUAAAUCGGUUGGAAUCUACGUGAACACCCCCAGUACGUGGAUAACCACGGAAAAUCUGCGGCUAAUACAUGCUCUUCUGUGUGGUCUUCUUGAUCAUACUGCAUACAUUAGUUCCAAAAUCAACUUUAUUUGGGUGAUUCAUGAUGUCUAGGCGAAUCGUAUGACCUUGUGUCGACGAUGAUUCAUUUGACCUUCCGCCCCAGCAAUUGUGGAUGGUAGUGUAGUGGACUACCAUGAUCGUGACGGGUGACGGGGAAUUAGGGUUCGAUUCCGGAGAGGGAGCCUGAGAAACGGCUCCCGCCCCACGGGGAUCAGCAGGCGCGCAAAUUACCCAAUGGUCAAAGACCGAGGUAGUGACAAUUAAUACUGAUGUUGGUGAUUUAUCACUGAUAAUCGGAAUGAACUGAAGUUAAAUCUCUCUAUGAGUACCAAUU
Molecule: ribosomal RNA, 485 nt
Filed under: uncultured eukaryote
Lineage: Eukaryota
Description: bacterial SSU rRNA
Rfam family: Eukaryotic small subunit ribosomal RNA
Source: RNAcentral